GAUGAAGAACGUAGCGAAAUGCGAUAAGUAAUGUGAAUUGCAGAAUUCCGUGAAUCAUCGAAUCUUUGAACGCAUAUUGCGCCCUCUGGCAUUCCGGGGGGCAUGCCUGUUCGAGCGUCAUUUCACCACUCAAGCCUCGCUUGGUAUUGGGCAACGCGGUCCGCCGCGUGCCUCAAAUCGACCGGCUGGGUCUUCUGUCCCCUAAGCGUUGUGGAAACUAUUCGCUAAAGGGUGUUCGGGAGGCUACGCCGUAAAACAACCCCAUUUCUAAGGUUGACCUCGGAUCAGGUAGGGAUACCCGCUGAACUUAAGCAUAUCAAUAAGCGGAGGA
Molecule: unclassified non-coding RNA, 331 nt
Filed under: soil metagenome
Description: partial contains 5.8S ribosomal RNA, internal transcribed spacer 2, and large subunit ribosomal RNA
Rfam family: 5.8S ribosomal RNA (bases 1-120)
Source: RNAcentral